This 28-nucleotide non-coding RNA is filed under the name Mus musculus (house mouse). RNAcentral also lists the same sequence under 1 other name. Lineage: Eukaryota; Metazoa; Chordata; Mammalia; Rodentia; Muridae. The record is from RNAcentral.
UGGAACAGGACCUUGUAAUGCUGUAUAU